GAUGAACGCUGGCGGCGUGCCUAAUACAUGCAAGUCGAGCGAGCAGAUAAGGAGCUUGCUCCUUUGACGUUAGCGGCGGACGGGUGAGUAACACGUGGGUAACCUACCUAUAAGACUGGGAUAACUUCGGGAAACCGGAGCUAAUACCGGAUAACAUUUGGAACCGCAUGGUUCUAAAGUGAAAGAUGGUUUUGCUAUCACUUAUAGAUGGACCCGCGCCGUAUUAGCUAGUUGGUAAGGUAACGGCUUACCAAGGCGACGAUACGUAGCCGACCUGAGAGGGUGAUCGGCCACACUGGAACUGAGACACGGUCCAGACUCCUACGGGAGGCAGCAGUAGGGAAUCUUCCGCAAUAGGCGAAAGCCUGACGGAGCAACGCCGCGUGAGUGAUGAAGGGUUUCGGCUCGUAAAACUCUGUUAUUAGGGAAGAACAAAUGUGUAAGUAACUGUGCACGUCUUGACGGUACCUAAUCAGAAAGCCACGGCUAACUACGUG
Molecule: ribosomal RNA, 497 nt
Filed under: uncultured bacterium
Lineage: Bacteria
Description: partial 16S ribosomal RNA
Rfam family: Bacterial small subunit ribosomal RNA
Source: RNAcentral